AUUAGAGCCUUAGUAGUAUAGUU
Molecule: transfer RNA, 23 nt
Filed under: Crocidura grayi halconus
Lineage: Eukaryota; Metazoa; Chordata; Mammalia; Eulipotyphla; Soricidae
Description: partial tRNA-Thr
Source: RNAcentral